This 90-nucleotide transfer RNA is filed under the name Acinetobacter baumannii. RNAcentral's name for it is "tRNA-Ser". It matches the Rfam family "tRNA". From Rfam's summary of the family: Transfer RNA (tRNA) molecules are approximately 80 nucleotides in length. Their secondary structure includes four short double-helical elements and three loops (D, anti-codon, and T loops). The record is from RNAcentral. Lineage: Bacteria; Pseudomonadati; Pseudomonadota; Gammaproteobacteria; Moraxellales; Moraxellaceae.
GGUGAGGUGUCCGAGUGGCUGAAGGAGCACGCCUGGAAAGUGUGUAUACGUUUACGCGUAUCGAGGGUUCGAAUCCCUCUUUCACCGCCA